AACAACGCCGACGACAUCCCGAAGAGACCUGCAGCGAGCACUCGAGGCGAUCGGAGCGGACGAGCGGCGGACGAACACCUGGCUUGUGCGGAUCAGCCUGGUCCUCCUGCUGGCGGCUUGGGCGUGGCAGGAAUACGCUGGGCGGCCGCAGCCGAGCAGCCGAGGAAAGGGACGGACUGGCGACGAGGCUGGCGGUGCGCGAGUCUUCGUCUGGGCAGGAGCGGCAAUGGCGGUGUUGAAGCUCGCGACGCGGUGGUACUUUGUGCGGGCCAGGCGAACGAUAGACGAAGCGCUGCUGGAAGGCGCCGUUGGAGGUGGGAGGAGCGAAGGGACGGGAGGGAAGGAAAAGGCGAAGAAAGGCCGGCGAUGACAGCGGAGGCGGCCGUGAGGGGCUGCCGCUCGGGUGCGCUACGAGACGAUAUCCAUCGGCGACUUGAGAAACCUGUCGAGGCUGUCAGGUCAGCAGAACGAGGCGAAGCGUUUGCAAGGGAAGCUGUCGUCCUGGUUUCAUGACCGUCAAGCUCCUUUCCGAUGCGUUCAGCCCGUGUGGCCUCUUUUUCCCCGUUCCAGCUCCGUUCCGCAACAGUACCAGCCCGCGAAGCCGUUCCACCGCAGAAUGACCGGAAAGAUCUGCGCGAAGCGAGCAAAGUGGGCCAGAGAAACGAGGAGAGUGGGGGACUGGCCCGAGGGACUCCAGUGGCAAUUCUGGACCCGCAACAAGGGUUCUGGCGAGCAGCGA
This 739-nucleotide unclassified non-coding RNA is filed under the name Rhodotorula toruloides. The record is from RNAcentral. Lineage: Eukaryota; Fungi; Basidiomycota; Microbotryomycetes; Sporidiobolales; Sporidiobolaceae.